GAAUCUUCCGCAAUGGACGAAAGUCUGACGGAGCAACGCCGCGUGAGUGAAGACGGUUUUCGGAUCGUAAACCUCUGUUGUCGGAGAAGAACAAGUAGGAGAGUAACUGUUCCUACCUUGCCGGUACACGACCAGAAAGCACCGACUAACUACGUGCCAGCAGCCGCGGUAAUACGUAGGUGGCAAGAGUUGUCCGGAUUUAGUGGGCGUAAAGCGAGCGCAGGUGGUUUCUUAAGUCUGAUGUGAAAGCCCACGGCUCAACCGUGGAAGGUCAUUGGAAACUGGGGAACUUGAAUGCAGAAGAGGGGAGUGGAAUUCCAUGUGAAGCGGUGAAAUGCGUAGAUAUAUGGAGGAACACCAGUGGCGAAGGCGACUCUCUGGUCUGUUAUUGACACUGAGGCUCGAAAGCGUGGGGAGCAAACA
This 423-nucleotide ribosomal RNA is filed under the name uncultured bacterium. RNAcentral's name for it is "partial 16S ribosomal RNA". It matches the Rfam family "Bacterial small subunit ribosomal RNA", at positions 359 to 774 of the family's 1533-position model. The record is from RNAcentral.